GCGCGUGUGGUGGAAUGGUAUACACGCUGGUCUUAAACACCAGCGCCUCUGGCAUGUGGGUUCGAGUCCCACCACGCGCACCA
RNAcentral lists this transfer RNA (83 nucleotides) under Undibacterium sp. KW1. RNAcentral's name for it is "tRNA-Leu". It matches the Rfam family "tRNA". Rfam says of the family: Transfer RNA (tRNA) molecules are approximately 80 nucleotides in length. Their secondary structure includes four short double-helical elements and three loops (D, anti-codon, and T loops). The record is from RNAcentral. RNAcentral also lists the same sequence under 1 other name. Lineage: Bacteria; Pseudomonadati; Pseudomonadota; Betaproteobacteria; Burkholderiales; Oxalobacteraceae.